CAGAGAAUCAAGCAUGCAGCUCUGAGAAGGGCCUGCCGGAGGAGUGGGAAACUCAUCAAAAUUAAGAGCCUUUGAAUAAGCAGGAUGAGCACAAGGUGGGGGAGGGGCGGGGAGCCCUAGGUAAGGGCUCCAGGAAUGACUUCACUGCAAAUGUUAAGUGACCCAAGAAGACAACUGUCCCCCCGCUGCUCUCAGAGGAAGCUGUGAGCCUGGGUGGAUACGGACGGCAGGGGACACAGUUUGCCUCUCAUUGGGCAAUUUCCACCAGUGGAGUUUCAAUUCCUGGGUCGUGGACUCUCGUCUCCUGGUGAAGUGCAACAUCAUUCCUCUUGUCGCCGGUGCGUUGUGCCUGCAUCUUUGCUCCAGCUAAGCCAGCUCCUCUAGGCCUCUGGCUGCCCACCGCAGUGGGCUCUGGACUGGACUCUGGACCAUGCGUUGCUGGGUUUGCUGCUGUGAUGAUGGAGGUGCUGCUUUUGUCUGUCUGAUGUUUAUACUUUGUGGGUGUGGAGUGUGCUAGGAACAUCUCAUAUGUGCCAGGAACUGGCUCUUUGGAAAAGUCAGUCCAGGUUAGAAACAUAGACUGUGGCCGGGCAUAGUGGCUCACGCCUAUAAUCCCAGCACUUUGGGAAGCCAAGGUGGGCAGAUCUCUUGACUUGAGGUCAGGAGUUCGAGACCGGCCUGGCCAACAUUGUGAAACCCCAUCUCUACUAAAAAUACAAAAAUUAGCCAGGCAUGGUGGUGCAUGCCUGUAGUUCCAGCUAUCCGGGAGGCUGAGGCACGGGAAUUGCUUGAACCCUGGAGACAGAGGUUGCAGUGAGCCAAGAUCACGCCACUGCACUCCAGGACUGUAUCAAGUUCACUCCAAAAGUGGAGAAGAGCCAUCUGGACUGCAACUGCCACCAAGGGAAGCCACACUUCAGCCAAGUGGGGCCCUCCACCUAAGGCCGAGCAUGAACCGCAUCACACGGCCACCCCCAGUUGCAACAGAGACUGGGAAGGUGGAGUAUCAGAUGGAAAUCCUAUUGUCAGGACCCAGGCUGAGCAUGCUGCCUCCCCACACGAAACCAGACUUCUGUUAGCAAGAAAGAUACAAGAUCGCCGGCCACUAUGGUUAUUGACAUGUUGUGCUGUCAUCUUCCAAAAACUGACGAGGGCCAGGUGCGGUGGCACACACCUGUAAUCCCAACAUCCUGGAGGCUGAGGCAAGAGGAUCACUUGAGGCCAGGACUUUGAGACUAGCUUGGGCAACAUAGCGAGACCCCCAUCUCUACAAAAAAUAAAAAUAAAAAUUUUAAUAAAAAAAAUAGCCGA
This 1311-nucleotide long non-coding RNA is filed under the name Homo sapiens (human). Its description in RNAcentral is "HSALNT0363210". Lineage: Eukaryota; Metazoa; Chordata; Mammalia; Primates; Hominidae. The record is from RNAcentral.